UUUAGGUGGCAGUAAAACUAAUUGGCACAAUGCGAAUUCCACACACAAGCCACAAAGAAAGAAGCCAUCAACCGCGGUCAACAACACCUUCCUGAUUGAACAGAACCACGCGCUGUCUGUGUGGUUUCACUGUUACAAGUUUCUUGGCGAUAUGGGGGAAAAGUUCCUCACAUACCAACGGAAAAUGGGCUUCACAUACAUGCUGCUGUCUCAUAAUAUGGCGAAGACGAGUCACCUGAAGGCCUAACUCGCCAUAGAAGACUGAAAGAAUUGUCCUGCAGGAUGCUGUGUCCUGCAAUCCUGUGUGCUGUGCUACAGACGCGUGUGGAGGUCAACCCAAAAUGGGCACAGUCUCACCACAGAAGAGUGAAAGAGGGUAAGCUUAACCUAUAGCCUACGUCAGGGUCGGGGAACGUUUCU
Long non-coding RNA from Engraulis encrasicolus (European anchovy), 420 nucleotides. RefSeq lists it as uncharacterized. Lineage: Eukaryota; Metazoa; Chordata; Actinopteri; Clupeiformes; Engraulidae. The transcript has 3 exons. The record is from RefSeq and is a predicted model, not a curated record.